Molecule: ribosomal RNA, 301 nt
Filed under: uncultured bacterium
Lineage: Bacteria
Description: partial 16S ribosomal RNA
Rfam family: Bacterial small subunit ribosomal RNA
Source: RNAcentral
CAGCCGCCGCGGUAAUACGUAGGUGGCGAGCGUUGUCCGGAAUCAUUGGGCGUAAAGGGAGCGCAGGCGGGCAAGUAAGUCUUUCUUAAAAGUUCGGGGCUCAACCCCGUGAUGGGAAAGAAACUACAUGUCUUGAGUACAGGAGAGGAAAGCGGAAUUCCCAGUGUAGCGGUGAAAUGCGUAGAUAUUGGGAGGAACACCAGUGGCGAAAGCGGCUCUCUGGCUUGUAACUGACGCUGAGGCUCGAAAGCGUGGGGAGCAAACAGGAUUAGAUACCCGCGUAGUCCCUGUCUCUUAUACA